CGGCACUGAGGUGGGGAGGGGAGCUGGAGGGGGAGCCCUCCUCCAUAGAUGACACUAGUGGGUCCUGGGCAAGGGCAAGGCAAGUGGGAGCCACGCUCUUAGACUGUCAUUGAGCCAGCCCUGGGCCACACAAACAAUGCCAUCACCACUCUCUGGAAAGGAGCUUUCCCUGACAGCUCCUGAAGGUCGCCCAUGAUGUACAGAAGUAGGACAGUCUUCUGGAUCCCAAAGUUAUGCUGAGGGUCAUUGGAGCUGCCCCUUGGUCAACAACCCAGGUCAUGCAUAAUCUCCAAACAGAAGGCGGUGUUCCUGACUCACCGAGGGGCCUGGGGGACAAAGAGAAAGCAGGACCCUUCGCUGCACUGAGAUGGGACUGGGAAGCGGUAAAACCUGCCCGGUGCACCCAUCUGAGAAACAGAAAUGUGGAACAUGUGGCGGGAUGUGGUGCACAUUUAGGGUGGAGGGGCUGAGGCUACACCAGAGGGCCUUGUACACCUUGCUGAGGAAGGUGUCCUUAGAGACAGCGACAGGCCACUGGAGGGUCUCACCCAGGGGACAGCUGUGAGUUACCAUGUGAGAAGAAUCUAGAACUGGGAUUCCUUCUGCUGCCCACUAGAUGAUGGGCCGAGUUGGUGGUGUUUCUAUCAUCAUUCUCUCUCCAGUGCUCUGUCCAUGACCCCAGACUGAUCCUGGGGUCCUGAUUCUCUUCCCCCUAGAAAGAAAUGAUACUGAAACACAUUGCUGGUGAGAAGUUGAGGAAAUGGGCUCUGUCUACAUGUUGGUGAGUGGGUUUACCUACCAGUGUCGGGGCUGGAGGACAGAAGAAGAAGCAUGGACAAGGAGCAGAGAAGUCACCAAUCAUCUCACUAACUGAAAACAGGAGGCUUAAGAAACGGUCCGAAUUUGCCAUUUCCAGUUUGCAAAAAAGAAGGGCCAAGUUGGAUGCUCUUGGUGCGUGUGAACCCUGGUGUAUGGUCCCAGGUCAUCAUCACAGAUGCCAAGGGGAUUUUUUCCAAAGCCCAGCUCUGGCUGCAAGCUCUCUUCCGCAGGAUCCUUCUCUGCUACAGGGUAAAGUCUCAGCGCUGGCAAAAGGCAGACAACGCUCUCCGCCAUCCAGCCCCGACACACGUGUCCAUCUCAUCUCCACGGCUUCCCUCCACCCCAUGCCAUGUGCGUGGGGCACAUGGUGACAGUGUAGUGGGGAAGAGCACGAACACCAGAGCUAGCCUGCCGGGUUUGGAGUCCCAGUCCACCACUAAUCAACUCUGAUCAUAGGCAAGUGGUCAUAGGCAAUCUCAUCUGGGUAGAAGGAUGAAGGGGGCCAGCGUACCCGAAAUCAAAGAGCAGUGCCCGAUGUUGGUGCUACAUCAAUGUUUGCUAGUAUUAUUACCAUUUCUGCUAUUUCUGGACAGUCCCACUUCCUAUUUCUCCAUGCUUUUCCCUUCCAGAGACUUCUGCCCCAAUGUCCUUCCUAUCUCAUGUGCCCGACAAAUUCCUUUUCAACUUUCAAGGCUCCUGUCACCUCCUCCAUGAAGCUAUCUCUGAUCUUUCAUGACCCCAUCCAUUUUCCCGAGAGCCCUUGGCAUUCACUUCCCAUCUGAGGUCACAGAUCUCUGUUCACAUUUCUGUCUCCCUAUAAGCAAGCAGGCCCCCAUCUUAUCCCUGUCUCCCCAGUCCUUGGCACACAGUAGAUGUGCAAUAAGUAUUUCCUGAAUGAACCUCCAUCUCCCAUCCUAGACUACAGGGUCCCCCAAAAUGGGACCACAUCUCAAUCACCUCUGUGCUCUGUUCUUAACUGAGCAUCUUGAAUUUUUUCUACCAUCCAUUGUCUGCACUCUUCAGCCAACCCUGCGAGAGUCCCAGAUCUCUGGUCAGUCUCUGAAGAAUUCUGAUCUCAGACAUUGGUUCUUGCCUGGUGAAUGCUGGAAAGAUCAGUAUUUGACCUGUCGUCUACUCUUGCUAUGUGCCAACCCUCACACUCUUUUGUCAACAAUUUAUAGCCAUGGGUAGAGAAUUUAGAGAGUGUUUGGAAGAUUGACACAAAAAACAAAUGGACAGCUUUUCUUGUGACCCCAGUGCCCGCAGAAUGCCAAUAUGCAUAUGAUUUAUUUAAAUAGGUCCUGGGUUAGCAAGAGUCUGGAGAACUU
Long non-coding RNA from Vulpes vulpes (red fox), 2147 nucleotides. NCBI's taxonomy places the organism in Eukaryota, Metazoa, Chordata, Mammalia, Carnivora, Canidae. The record is from Ensembl.